Molecule: long non-coding RNA, 1096 nt
Organism: Salvelinus fontinalis (brook trout)
Lineage: Eukaryota; Metazoa; Chordata; Actinopteri; Salmoniformes; Salmonidae
Exons: 4
Source: RefSeq, a predicted model, not a curated record
UCCUGACAAUGCCGAAGUUGCAAGACAACAGAGAGCAUGACAACGACAAGUAAUCUCAGAUGAAAUCCGUGGAACCCUAGUUCAUCAUGUGCUCAUACAUAGGAGGACGAUGAGAGAAGCUGGACAUCAGGUGCAACACUACCUAAGCCGUUACACGGUGGCAUCCAUUGUCCGUACUUUCAGAAUGGAAAACAGAACUGAGAGAACUCCAUCUAUUGGAGGUAGGCGGAGACUUCUCACAGCUGUGCAGGAGACUGCCCUGGUGAAUAUGCGAUAUUUGAAGCCAUGAUGUCGGCAAGCAGCGAUGUUCAACACGAGGUCAUUCCUGAAUUUACGGACUCAGAAGAAGCUGCAACAUGCUCGCAUGGUGAAGCCACAACCUCAGAGCCCUGCACCCCGACACCCAGGGUCCAUCGACACAAUCAAAGCUCCUGCAACCCCUGACCUCAGCACCACAAGGGUCCAUUGUCGGUUGGUGAACAGUUCUGUUCACUUGUUUAGCCCAAAUCACACAAUUUAUCGGUCUUCAACAGGGCUGGGCAUGUCAUGGCAGGGUUAUGUUCUUAAACAUUAUUUAAGGAGACAUUAUGAAUCUAGGAGUGUUUAAAUAAAACUGGAUUACAGAUUAAAUUCACCAUAUUCUGAGCCAAGACUUGUAUUAUUUGCAUCAUUGGUGUAUUCGGUUGGUCCCACACUGGCCUUUGGUGGAUAAGAUUUCAUACAUUUGCUGAGACAAUCCAUGGUUGGCGAACAAAACUGCACUCACACUGGCUGCCCUCAGGUUUGCUAUGGAGUCUGUACCUUAUACUUCCUGUACUGUAAAUCUCAUUUCAUCUGCUGGUUGAGAGAAUGCCAAGAGUGUGCAAAGCUGUCAUCAAGGGUGGCUACUUUGAAGAAUCUCAAAUAUAAAAUAUAUUUUGAUUUGUUUAACACUUUUUUGCUUACUACAUGAUUCUGUGUUAUUUCAUAAUUUUGAUGUCUUCACUAUUAUUUUACAAUGUAGAAAAUAGUAAAAAAUAAAGAAAAACCCUUGAAUGAGUACGUGUGUCUAAACUUUUGACUGGUACUGUAUAUUUCCCCACGGAAGAGAACACAC